AUCCAGCUGACGAGUCCCAAAUGAGACGAAAAGCUUGUCUUGGAU
This 45-nucleotide non-coding RNA is filed under the name Schistosoma mansoni. The record is from RNAcentral. Lineage: Eukaryota; Metazoa; Platyhelminthes; Trematoda; Strigeidida; Schistosomatidae.